UACGAAGGGGGCGAGCGUUGUUCGGAAUUACUGGGCGUAAAGGGCGCGCAGGCGGCUCUGAAAGUCAGAUGUGAAAGCCCCGGGCUUAACCUGGGAAUUGCAUUUGAUACUCUGGAGCUUGAGUGUGGGAGAGGAGAGUGGAAUUCCCAGUGUAGAGGUGAAAUUCGUAGAUAUUGGGAAGAACACCGGUGGCGAAGGCGGCUCUCUGGACCACAACUGACGCUGAGGCGCGAAAGCGUGGGGAGCAAACGGGG
This 254-nucleotide ribosomal RNA is filed under the name uncultured bacterium. Its description in RNAcentral is "partial 16S ribosomal RNA". It matches the Rfam family "Bacterial small subunit ribosomal RNA", at positions 524 to 777 of the family's 1533-position model. The record is from RNAcentral.